RNAcentral lists this ribosomal RNA (254 nucleotides) under uncultured bacterium. RNAcentral's name for it is "partial 16S ribosomal RNA". It matches the Rfam family "Bacterial small subunit ribosomal RNA", at positions 524 to 776 of the family's 1533-position model. The record is from RNAcentral.
CACGUAGGGUGCGAGCGUUGUCCGGAAUUAUUGGGCGUAAAGAGCUCGUAGGCGGUGUGUCGCGUCGGCCGUGAAAACCUGCAGCUUAACUGUGGGCUUGCGGUCGAUACGGGCAUCACUGGAGUUCGGCAGGGGAGACUGGAAUUCCUGGUGUAGCGGUGAAAUGCGCAGAUAUCAGGAGGAACACCGGUGGCGAAGGCGGGUCUCUGGGCCGAUACUGACGCUGAGGAGCGAGAGCGUGGGGAGCAAACGGG